Molecule: ribosomal RNA, 416 nt
Filed under: uncultured bacterium
Lineage: Bacteria
Description: bacterial SSU rRNA
Rfam family: Bacterial small subunit ribosomal RNA
Source: RNAcentral
AUUGAACGCUGGCGGCAUGCCUUACACAUGCAAGUCGAACGGCAGCACGGGGGCAACCCUGGUGGCGAGUGGCGAACGGGUGAGUAAUACAUCGGAAUGUACCCAGUAGUGGGGGGAUAACUAGUCGAAAGAUUAGCUAAUACCGCAUACGCACUAUGGUGGAAAGCGGGGGAUCGCAAGACCUCGCGCUAUUGGAGCAGCCGAUGUCCGAUUAGGUAGUUGGUGGGGUAAAAGCCUACCAAGCCUGCGAUCGGUAACUGGUCUGAGAGGACGACCAGUCACACUGGGACUGAGACACGGCCCAGACUCCUACGGGAGGCAGCAGUGGGGAAUUUUGGACAAUGGGGGAAACCCUGAUCCAGCAAUGCCGCGUGUGUGACGAAGGCCUUCGGGUUGGUUAAAGACGUCUUUCGGUU